ANCCCUGGUUUUGCAGUGGGUACGGGCUAACUAGAGUGCAGUAGGGGAGACUGGAAUUCCUGGUGUAGCGGUGGAAUGCGCAGAUAUCAGGAGGAACACCGAUGGCGAAGGCAGGUCUNUGGGCUGUAACUGACGCUGAGAAGCGAAAGCAUGGGGAGCGAACAGGAUUAGAUACCCUGGUAGUCCAUGCCGUAAACGUUGGGCACUAGGUGUGGGGGACAUUCCACGUUUUCCGCGCCGUAGCUAACGCAUUAAGUGCCCCGCCUGGGGAGUACGGCCGCAAGGCUAAAACUCAAAGAAAUUGACGGGGGCCCGCACAAGCGGCGGAGCAUGCGGAUUAAUUCGAUGCAACGCGAAGAACCUUACCAAGGCUUGACAUAUACUGGACUGCGUCAGAGAUGGCGUUUCCCUUCGGGGCUGGUAUACAGGUGGUGCAUGGUUGUCGUCAGCUCGUGUUGUGAGAUGUUGGGUUAAGUCCCGCAACGAGCGCAACCCUCGUUCUAUGUUGCCAGCACGUGAUGGUGGGGACUCAUAGGAGACUGCCGGGGUCAACUCGGAGGAAGGUGGGGAUGACGUCAAAUCAUCAUGCCCCCUAUGUCUUGGGCUUCACGCAUGCUACAAUGGCCGGUACAGAGGGUUGCGAUACUGUGAGGUGGAGCUAAUCCCUAAAAGCCGGUCUCAGUUCGGAUUGGGGUCUGCAACUCGACCCCAUGAAGUCGGAGUCGCUAGUAAUCGCAGAUCAGCAACGCUGCGGUGAAUACGUUCCCGGGCCUUGUACACACCGCCCGUCAAGUCACGAAAGUUGGUAACACCCGAAGCCGGUGGCCUAACCCUGGUGGGGGGAGCCGUCGAAG
Molecule: ribosomal RNA, 854 nt
Filed under: uncultured bacterium
Lineage: Bacteria
Description: bacterial SSU rRNA
Rfam family: Bacterial small subunit ribosomal RNA
Source: RNAcentral